Molecule: long non-coding RNA, 575 nt
Filed under: Apteryx owenii (little spotted kiwi)
Lineage: Eukaryota; Metazoa; Chordata; Aves; Apterygiformes; Apterygidae
Description: lncRNA (ENSAOWG00000006102.1)
Source: RNAcentral
AAAAUGAGUUGGGGUACGGGAUGCUGCUGCGAUAAAGAAAUGUUUAUUAGGCGAUUAUCCUUUGCCUUAAACGAAAGAAGCAGCUAUUAGGUGGUACAGACUAAGCGGCCUUGGGGUAAUGGUGAUUUCUUCACUGCAGCUCCUUGAAGAGUACUUCGGAUGAAUACCGAAUGGUGACUGGACUGCUAGCUGUCUUCCGCAGUCUUCCCCCAGCAGUGGAGUCGGAGGGGAGUAAUGUUAGAGAGAAUGGCUGGUGCAUAAUGAUUUCCUUUUAAGAAGACAGCACCUCCGUCAGCAUGGUAACACCUAGUUUCACAAUCAGACAUUGAUUCAACAGUGACUCAAAGUGAGGAGCACUCCAAACUGAGUCAUCCACGGCACUUCCUACAGCAGUUCCUUAUGUUCAUCUUGCUUUAAAGUUGGAAGGAUUUUCACAGUGCUGUUGGGAAAACUCGCACGCAUUUGAGGGGCUGCCACUCCAGGUGGAUGCCCAGCUAAAAUGGAGUGGGCUUCGGCUCCUUGAGGCGUUGGAAAAGGACUGCGUUGUCAACAGUGAGCUCCUCACUACUCUCUAA